CCAGACUACUACGGGAGGCAGCAGUGGGGAAUAUUGCGCAAUGGGCGCAAGCCUGAUGCAGCCAUGCCGCGUGUAUGAAGAAGGCCUUCGGGUUGUAAAGUACUUUCAGCGGGGAGGAAGGGAGUAAAGUUAAUACCUUUGCUCAUUGACGUUACCCGCAGAAGAAGCACCGGCUAACUCCGUGCCAGCAGCCGCGGUAAUACGGAAGGUCCGGGCGUUAUCCGGAUUUAUUGGGUUUAAAGGGAGCGUAGGCCGGUCUUUAAGCGUGCCGUGAAAUUUUGUGGCUCAACCAUGAGAGUGCGGCGCGAACUGGAGACCUUGAGUGCGCGGAAGGCAGGCGGAAUUCGUGGUGUAGCGGUGAAAUGCGUAGAGAUCGGGAGGAACACCAGUGGCGAAGGCGGCCUACUGGGCUUUAACUGACGCUGAGGCACGAAAGCGUGGGUAGCAAACAGGAUUAGAUACCCUAGUA
This 469-nucleotide ribosomal RNA is filed under the name uncultured bacterium. RNAcentral describes it as "bacterial SSU rRNA". It matches the Rfam family "Bacterial small subunit ribosomal RNA", at positions 331 to 792 of the family's 1533-position model. The record is from RNAcentral.